CUGAUGUUAGCGGCGGACGGGUGAGUAACACGUGGGUAACCUGCCUGUAAGACUGGGAUAACUCCGGGAAACCGGGGCUAAUACCGGAUGGUUGUCUGAACCGCAUGGUUCAGACAUAAAAGGUGGCUUCGGCUACCACUUACAGAUGGACCCGCGGCGCAUUAGCUAGUUGGUGAGGUAACGGCUCACCAAGGCGACGAUGCGUAGCCGACCUGAGAGGGUGAUCGGCCACACUGGGACUGAGACACGGCCCAGACUCCUACGGGA
This 267-nucleotide ribosomal RNA is filed under the name uncultured Bacillus sp. Its description in RNAcentral is "partial 16S ribosomal RNA". It matches the Rfam family "Bacterial small subunit ribosomal RNA", at positions 86 to 346 of the family's 1533-position model. The record is from RNAcentral. Lineage: Bacteria; Bacillati; Bacillota; Bacilli; Caryophanales; Bacillaceae.